CCGUAGGUGACCUGCGGAAGGAUCAUU
RNAcentral lists this ribosomal RNA (27 nucleotides) under Polyblastidium japonicum. RNAcentral describes it as "partial 18S ribosomal RNA". The record is from RNAcentral. Lineage: Eukaryota; Fungi; Ascomycota; Lecanoromycetes; Caliciales; Physciaceae.